RNAcentral lists this ribosomal RNA (741 nucleotides) under uncultured crenarchaeote. Its description in RNAcentral is "bacterial SSU rRNA". It matches the Rfam family "Archaeal small subunit ribosomal RNA", at positions 85 to 811 of the family's 1478-position model. Lineage: Archaea; Thermoproteati; Thermoproteota. The record is from RNAcentral.
ACGGCUCAGUAACACGUGGCUAACCUGCCCUUGGGACGAGAACAACCCCGGGAAACUGGGGAUAAUCCUCGAUAGGUGAAGAACUCUGGAAUGAGUCUUUGCUUAAAAGGCGUUGGAUCAUGCUUUCAGCGUCGCCCAAGGAUGGGGCCGCGACCGAUCAGGUUGUUGGUGAGGUAAUGGCCCACCAAGCCUUUUACCGGUGCGGGCCGUGAGAGCGGGAGCCCGGAGAUGGGCACUGAGACAAGGGCCCAGGUCCUACGGGGCGCAGCAGUCGCGAAAACUUUGCAAUACACGAAAGUGUGACAGGGUCAUCCCGAGUGCCGACCGCUGAGGUUGGCUUUUACCCAGUCUAGAAAGCUGGGGGAAUAAGGAGAGGGCAAGUCUGGUGUCAGCCGCCGCGGUAAUACCAGCUCUCCGAGUGGUGUGGACGUUUAUUGGGCCUAAAGCAUCCGUAGCUGGCUGAACAAGUCCCCUGUUAAACCCACCGAUUUAAUCGUUGGUCUGCGGGGGAUACUGCUCGGCUAGGGGACGAGAGAGGCAGACGGUAUUCCCGGGGUAGGGGUGAAAUCCUAUAAUCCCGAGGAGACCACCAGUGGCGAAGGCUGUCUGCUAGAACGCGCCCGACGGUGAGGGAUGAAAGCUGGGGGAGCGAACCGGAUUAGAUACCCGGGUAGUCCCAGCUGUAAACGAUGCAGACUAGGUGUUUGGACGGCCACGUGCCGUUCUAGUGCCGCAGGGAAG